This 494-nucleotide ribosomal RNA is filed under the name uncultured bacterium. RNAcentral describes it as "partial 16S ribosomal RNA". It matches the Rfam family "Bacterial small subunit ribosomal RNA", at positions 28 to 507 of the family's 1533-position model. The record is from RNAcentral.
GACGAACGCUGGCGGCGUGCUUAACACAUGCAAGUCGAACGGUGAAGCGCCUUCCUUUUUGGUGGGUGUGGAUGAGUGGCGAACGGGUGAGUAACACGUGAGUAACCUGCCCCCUUCUUCUGGAUAACCGCAUGAAAGUGUGGCUAAUACGGGAUAUUCUGGGUCUGUCGCAUGAUGGGUCUGGGAAAGAUAUUGUUUCGGUGGGGGAUGGGCUCGCGGCCUAUCAGCUUGUUGGUGGGGUGAUGGCCUACCAAGGCGGUGACGGGUAGCCGGCCUGAGAGGGUGGACGGCCACACUGGGGCUGAGACACCGACCAGACUACUACGGGAGGCAGCAGGGAGGAAUAUUGCACGAUGGGAGCAAGCCUGAUGCAGCGACGCCGCGGGAGGGAUGGAGGCCUGCGGGUUGUGAACCUCUUUCGCCAGUGAAGCAGGCCUGCCUCGUUUGUGGGUGGGUUGACGGUAGCUGGAUAAGAAGCGCCGGCUAACUACGUG